GACGAACGCUGGCGGCGUGCUUAACACAUGCAAGUCGUACGGUAAGGCCCUUUCGGGGGUACACGAGUGGCGAACGGGUGAGUAACACGUGAGUAACCUGCCCACAACUUUGGGAUAACGCUAGGAAACUGGUGCUAAUACUGGAUAUGUGCUCCUGCUGCAUGGUGGGGGUUGGAAAGCUCCGGCGGUUGUGGAUGGACUCGCGGCCUAUCAGCUUGUUGGUGGGGUAGUGGCCUACCAAGGCGGCGACGGGUAGCCGGCCUGAGAGGGUGACCGGCCACAUUGGGACUGAGAUACGGCCCAGACUCCUACGGGAGGCAGCAGUGGGGAAUAUUGCACAAUGGGCGCAAGCCUGAUGCAGCAACGCCGCGUGCGGGAUGACGGCCUUCGGGUUGUAAACCGCUUUCAGCAGGGACGAAGCGUUUUGUGACGGUACCUGCAGAAGAAGCACCGGCUAACUACGUGC
Molecule: ribosomal RNA, 466 nt
Filed under: uncultured bacterium
Lineage: Bacteria
Description: partial 16S ribosomal RNA
Rfam family: Bacterial small subunit ribosomal RNA
Source: RNAcentral